RNAcentral lists this long non-coding RNA (9694 nucleotides) under Triticum aestivum (bread wheat). Its description in RNAcentral is "long non-coding RNA (TAES_LNC010473)". Lineage: Eukaryota; Viridiplantae; Streptophyta; Magnoliopsida; Poales; Poaceae. The record is from RNAcentral.
AAAACAACAAAUAUAAUGUUCAUCUCAUAUAUAUAGGGUGCCGGAGGCAAACCACCAUCAACCUAUGAGUUUCACACCCAGAAUAUAAGCAUGCCAUGUGAAAUUCUCAUCAUUGUACAAGAAAAACCCUUGUGGUGGACUAAUCGGACACAAAUUAUCACACAUGCCUGCCGGUGAUGACAUACUGAACCAAACACCACACACCAGUCACUAUCUUUGAGCCAGCUUCUUAAGGUGCUGAAACAGCUUCUGCUUUAUCCACUGCCGGUCAUAUGGCAGAAACGCAUGGAUUUCAUGAUCAUAUCUGCAAACAGAAAACAUAGAUAUAUGUUUAAACUCUGGACAGGAACAUGUGAAUCAACUUUGCCCCGCAGCGAUCUAAUAACGAUUGAUGGUCUUAAAAGUUAUAUUGUACUCACACUAGCGCACUGAUGUCAGCUAGGCCGUCGAUGAAGUUGUACAGGUCGGUGAUGUCAUAGGUUAUGUUCGGGAUCAUUGGGUUGAUAUCCCUGAUUUUCCUUUCAUAGAGACCACAGAUUCCUGACAUUUCCAUGGAGCGGUAGCAAACAGUUAACGAAUUUACAAAACAAAAAUGAAACAACAAGCAAUUCUGGAGGGAAAAAAAGAAUUUGUUUUCUAUUACGGCAUAUGACAUAACCAUCACUUUAGUAGCGAGCAGUUGGGCAUAGAGUAGGGAACAUGAAACAUUGGUCCUUCUCACUAGAAUACUUCUAAUUUGAUACACUGCCACAGAGGAGCUACCCAGUUCAUCUUUGGUUUCCUAAAACUCGAGCACUCAAUAGUUUAAUGCAUAGACAGAUAGAGCCUUAAAUAUUGACCAUGCCUGCAACUAAUAAUAGGAUAGGAUAGGCACAGGCUGAUCAUUAUUAAAAUUUUAAACUAGUCAUUUUUAACACAGCCAAAACUGAGGGGAAAGACUUGUUAAUGAGGAAAAAACGGAAGAGGUUGCAAAUGCAAAACAUAAGAGCAACUACACAAAAUCUCCAGUUCACAUGGUGAUCACUAUGAUCAUGCUAAUAAUAUUAACUGGGCUAGUUAAUUGAACAUUGCAGCACAGGUUCCAUAAAGAAACUACACGUACCAUCCAAUGCAUGGUUAAUUGAAUUAUAAUCCAUGAACGUCCUGGAGCUCCUGUUUUGGGAUGGUUGCAUCAGAAUAAUGGUGUGCCUCCCAGCCUACAAUAUGCGCAAAAAGAGAUUAAGAUAUCAACACACACAAAUUGCUACAACAUUACCAAUGGAUUAAUUUUAAUCUUUGUUAAGAUACCACAGUGAACAGCAAUGUAUAUUAAUGGUUGCUAAAUAAGUGGGAUAAAGAUUUAAUAAACUUCUCCAUAUCUGAGUGCUAAAUAGGUUUCUAAAAUAGCCGCUAUUUCUAGAUGCAACUCUUGUACUAACAGAGCCAGUACUACAAAAGUGAAGAUUGUCUGGAGUACCCAUUGAUAGCAUGUGAGGUAUGGUUCCUCUGUUUAAACAGCUUGAUUGAUACCAUGAUAUUCCUAAGUUGAAGGAUAUUAUGCAAUUAUCAUAUCCACAAAACUUCUUGUCAGGUAGUAAUAAUAGUUGUAGAGUGAAGCAAACGCAACCCAAUACGAUGUCUUGCAACAAGCAAUAGUAUUGAUAACAUACUUAGUCAUGCAAUCACCAAAUAGCUUUCGUUCUGUUUGAGAAAAAGUAAAAAUUUCAUAUCAAGGUCCAACAACAUGCUAGAUCCUCGAGGCAGCUGCUGGAUGGCCGCUUAGUGCCUACCGCCUACCCCGCUUAAGCGCAGGCUAGGUGGAGGUCUAAGAAUGCGGAAGGUUGAAGAAGGCACAUAUUCGUGAAAGAAAAUAUUAAGAGAAUAAAAAGGAGUCAGUGUAGACUGCCCAGUCCAUUAAAGCACCAGAACGACGCAUAUGCACACAACACGAAGUUAGGGCUCCCCCAAGAUUCUCUUCCAUGCAGCCGACUCCACCCCCGUCCCCAUUUCCGCUAGCCCUAACUCCAUGAGCAGGCAAGCAGCAGCAGUGCCAGCAACCAGACAGGUACCACAAUACAAUGUUCUCUCCUUCAUCCUUUCUUCCCCAUGCUGCCUCCUCUCCUUCCUCCACACUGUUGAUUCCUCACGGGAGAAGUUUGAUGCGCCGCCAGCUGCCUACAGCCUCAGGCUUCCUCACAGCACCAAACGAUGCCUUUUGCAACUCUUCAGAUUGUGCGCACGUAAGGUAGUUGCGAUUUUAUGCCGACACAUUGUUUCCUAAUAUAGGUAAGAUCGACUACGCAUCACAUUGAUGAUGGCAACUCUUAAGAAAGGGGAAGCAGAAAAUUUUGAAUAAUGAUUCAGAUAGCAGGCAUUACUUCCUGGCAGUAACUACAUGCUCUGCUUGAAAGGUAAAUUCUCAUAUUGUGCAAGCCAAUAACUAUGCUCUUCUAAAUUGCAGGAAAGCUUUUCAUGUGCAUUUUGUAGGAAGUGUUUAAGCAUAACUGAUGGCAAGAUGGAUAAUAAGUAAAUAAGCAGCACUCGAUCUUUAAUACUGGGCCUAAAUAUCAGAUAUUUCUUUUUCUUGCCGAAAUUAACUUUUUUUUGAUAAUAUGCCCUGAUUGCCUCCUUGCCCAUAGACCAUAGCAUAAGUACUUCAGGUGAAAUACAUAAGGGGGGAAAUACCACAAACAAAAUACUUUGUUCCGCAGCCAUCUUUAUAUUUAAGUCAAAAGGCUCUUUUUCUAAGCUAUGUUGCACUGGUACGCAUCCGACAUGAGAUUAGCCAUUUUUGAAAGAAUUGUGAGUAUACUUUGUUUCACAAGCCAUGUUGUAUAUAAUCCAAAAGGUACGUUAGGCGGGCGGCCAAUAUAUGCACAAUGUUGUCGAGGGUGAUGUGCUGUGGCAUGACGGGAAUCGGCCGAUUGUGGAAGAUAUGGGUUGAGUUCCAAGAACUCAGGAAAGAAGUAAUUUUUUUGCGGUCACCACCAAUCUCCAAAGAGAAUAUAUACACGGUGCACAUGCUGAUCCAGACACCCCAGACACAACCGCCCCUAAACAGUAGGUUACAGGAGAAACGUGGAAACUAGUUACUUCGAAUCGAACUCAAAAUCAAUGCACAUUAUCUACGCCUUUUCUUGUACCAAACAUUAUUGCUUAGCUACAAAGAAAGAAAAGACUAUAUGAAAAUGGGCAGUGAAUGAACGAAAUCCAGUUGUUCUAAGGAUUCGGAUUCGGCAGUCGAGACAUCCAUAUCUAUGGAAUUACAAAAGGAAUAAAAGGAUCUGAAUCCGACCCGGGGACAGACUCAAACCUUAGCACAAACAUUCACAGUGGCAUGCGUUCCCACGUUAAUCAAUAGCGCUAGGUGAUCAUCAACGUCUUCGGAUAGGCCACGGCUCGGCUCGGCUCAACACAUCCUCCCAUAGUCCCUUUUCUCAGCUUAAAACCUAAAAGGCUAUACAUAACUUACUUUUCUAUAUGCUCAUAGUUAAAAAAGGCAUGCCUAGGCUCUAGGGUGGGUUUUGGUCAGAAAAACGCAAAGUGCUUAAUUGCGCUUAAUCUGUGCAAGGCCGUUGAUUGCGGUUAUAUAAACAUUUUCUAUAUAACCUACUUUUCUAUAUGCAAAGCGCUUAAUUGCGCUUAAUCUGUGCAUAAGGGUGGGUUUUGGUCAGAAAAGCGCAAUGCUGUGGCAAAACGUACAAUUAACACCUAGCUCUUUUUUUAACAAUAUAUAUGCUUAGAAAUAAUAGCAGCUGGAAACAUGGAAGAUGCACCCUAACUAGCCGGCAGCAGGCAGUGCAUUAGCGGAAAAAAAACAAAAGGAGACACGAGUUUAGAUUCUACGAACUCCUCCAAUCUACAGACUAUAACCAACCAACCUAGGCUUCCAAGGGAACUUCACCUGACCUCAGUGGCCGCACAAAUUCUUGCGGCGGUGGUAUACAUGGAAGGAGGUCACCUAGACGAAAGAGAGGACAGGGGGCUCACCAUUGCUAGGAAGGACUGUCGGGAAGGAGAGGAUAGUGGCCCGCGCAGAUCUGCCGAUGCCCGAGAGGAGAGGAGAGGAGAGGAGAAGGGGGGCAGCGGUGAAGAGCGGUCGCCGUCGCUGGUUUGCCGAGUAGGCGAGAGCGAGAGGGCGAGCAGGGAGGCGUCUGGAAGAUGUUCUAGGGUUAAGUUUUUGUUUUUUGUUUUUUUGGGGUUGUUCUAGGGUUAAGUGUGGGGUGACGUCGGCUCCGACUGGGCCGGGCCGUGCCGUGCGACCCUGUCCGGAUAGGUCCACGUUCACUAGUUGGACAACUUUUUUCUUUUCUUUAUGAUUAUGAGGGGUCGCUGUUUCUCAAAAAAAAAAAAGAGGUCGCUAGUUGAAAAACUUGCUCAGCGUGUCUGCGCCAUGUGUCUGAGGCCUUUUUUGGUUCAUAGGAUAAGAUUAUCAUAGGAAUAGGAAUUUUGUAGGAAAUGAAUGGCAUAUAUCUCAAAUCCUAUGAGUAGGAAUAGGAAACGAGAUGUCAUUUGAUUGAUACCAAAGGAAUUUUUUCAUUGAGUCUAGGCUUAUUUUUAUUUUCCUAUGAAAUGUGAAGGAUAGAAACCAAUCCUAUGUACGAAUAGGAAUCUAUUCCUAUGAACCAAAGGGCUCUAAAGGAAAAAAUUCUAUAAAAUUCCUAUCCUCUAAAAUUUCUAUGAAAUUUCUCCAAACUAAAGGAGGCCUGAAAGUCUGAAAUGGAUCGGCCUGGACAACUAAAUUAAUCUACACCGGAAGAAGAAUCCACGCCAAAUUAAUCUUCACCAUUUCCAGUAUAUUUCCGGAACAAGCAAAUAAGUAUCACACCCAAGGAUUUAACCUGCACAGCUUUUUUUAGAAUAUUUAAAUUGUAUACUUUUCUAGGAAAAUUUAACUUGUACAGUAUAGUUGAUCGGAGUACUACAGCUUGCGGAUCGAACACAUAUAAAAUACACACUCCCCGAAAAAAAAAACACGGAAUCUCUUUAUUCUUCUAAUUAUCACGGUACAGAUACCCUGAUGCAAAGAAUUAUACAUACAAAACCACCAUAAAAGAAUCCUGUAUACUUUUUUUUGGCGAGAUAAAAGAAUCAUAUACACAUGUGUAAAUAUAUGGCCAACCUAGCCUGCACCUAGCAACUAGUACUAGCAUAUAGCAUAGCAAAGCAGAUAUAUAUACUCGAUCGAACAACACUCCGUGUUCUCUAAGAUGCCAGAACCGGUUAGGAUUAUUUGUAGGACCAACUCACCUCCGCAUAUAUUUCCACAAUACCACUUGCAGCACCGGACUCUUGAGUAGCUUGGACUAGCGUGUAGUACUUGGGUCAUCAGGGCUUGAAUGGGAUGGCGAGGCCGCUGGCGGAGACGGAGACGAGGAGGACAAGGUACCCGCACGGCAGAAGACGCCUCGCGAAGGCCUGGAGGCGCGGCUUGCCGGAGAGGGCCGGGAUGUGCAGAAAGACGGACGUCGCCAUCUCGGCGGCGGCGGUGGCGACGACCACGGCGAGGAUGAGGUAGCAGAAAACAGGACCGAAGAUUGGUCCGGCCUGCGGCGGGUGGAAGGCGGUGCUCAUGCCGAACGCGAAACUGGCAGAACCCACUGCCCAGAGAGAGGUUGCGAGCUGCGCCUUCGUCGGGGAAGCCCCUGGGAACACGGACCGCGCGAUCUCGCUCACCGUGGGCACUUGCGCUUCCAGGUCGAGGUCGGGCGUGGCGGUGUUGUUGGAGCUAGCGGCGGAUGCCAUUGUGGCUGCUGAAUUGCUGGAGCGAAUGAACAAUUAAUUAAGCUGCAGCUCCUGGUGCUAGUAAUACGAAUUGAAUAAUAAUUGUGCCCGAUAAUAUUUAUAGUGGCUGCAGCAACGAGUGUGUGGUCCGGUACGUCCUCAUCAAGUUCCCUUUUCCUCUGAAUAAUAAUGGCGCACGAUGGCCAAAUGUAAUAUAAGCUGCGAAAGCAACAAUUGUCACCAGUACCUAUCCAUGAUCCCAGGUUCACGACUUCAUUUUCCAAAUCGCCGUUUCUGUCCAAAUCGUCGAGUUCACGCGGUUUUGUGCAGCCACGGAGUAUAGAACUACGAUGAGAUCUUGUGGAGAGUCGACGAGUGCCGUGUAGGCCGAAGACCAACGACCGAGGGCGUGGGCGCCUCCGGUGGCCCAUUUUAUUCUCAGGAUAAUAUCACAUGAAAACCAACCUUCAAAAAAAUCAUAAAAGCUAAUUUUGAAAGUUUAAAAAAAACUGAAAAUAUAUAUUUGAUGUUAAGAGGGUAAUGUUCUAUAGGCGCCCCAAACUCUAAAUCACAUUACCGGAUAUGAGCUAUAAAAAAACAAACUCAGCAUGAAUAGUGAUGUUACUGUUCGACACUAUGUAAUGAUGAUUUCUUUUUAUAGCUCGCAUCUCGUAAUGUGUUUAAACUUGAAUUUUCGCAUGGAUAUAGGGCAUCACCCUCUUAUCAUCUCAUCUUUUUUAAUCCUUUCUGAAACUUUAAAACAACGUUUUCGUGUGGUUUUCAUCGGUUUCCUACAUUCAAUGUUGGGUUUCAUGUGAUAUUCUACCUUUAUUCUGAAACCUUUGCAUUGUGAGUUUUUUGCUUGGGAACACAAUAGAAACCCUUAUAGACACCUUUCGAUGUGGUGCACAAGCGUGGUGCACAAGGGGCUUGAGGUGGCCGGCGGCUGGGUCUCCCCCCGUGUCGCCCAUGAGAGCGACGCAGGGGUCAUGUGCGUCAUGCAGGUAGAUUGUGAGCCUAUAAGGCCAACUUCAACACACGACACCAUCCGGUCCGGGGUGUCUGUGGCCCAAAGGGACGCCACGGCCCAACACGCAACCCCAUCUUCAUUUUUUGUCCGUGUGACGUCCAGCCCGCUCCAUUUCCGGCACAAAAUUACGCCCGGUAUGCGUCCAGACGAACAGCGAACGAACGUUAACGUGUCCGCUCCGCAUCUGCCUCGGGCCCAUGUUGUAGCCGCCCACCUACCUCCCACCGCUCGCAUUUACGGCGCACGAGCGGGGCGCGCGUGCGCGCCGCCUGUCAGCCUCCCAGCCGUGGGGUCGGCGUCCUUUUUAAUGUGGAAGUCAUGGACCUGUCAAUCCACACUUCCACUCCCGACAACGCGUGCCUCCUUGAAGCCCGACAUGCCCAAACCCUAGCUCUGUCCGCCUUUCCUCCACCUCGCAGACGGCGGAAUGGGCUGGCAUUGGAUCCCGGCCGCAAGGGGAAGCACGACCACGAGGUCGGGUCGUCCUCCGACCAUUGCAGCCGCUCCUCCAGCGUUCCACAUGUCACCGUCGGUGACCGCUCCUCGCAUGUGGCUGUACACCAAGGCGGAGAUAUGCAAGCGUUAUUGGGAGACCGGCACACCGUUGCCGGGGAGCGACAUGCACCUCCCCAAUAACUGGCAUCUCUCUGCGGAUCGGGUGCCCAUUCCACCGAUCUCAGUGAGCGGCCGCGGCCGCCGCGAGGAGAUCGACCGCCGCCGCGCCUGCCUGCCGCCGGACCUCUUCCACGACGCAAGGUAUGCCGUGGACUCCCUGCCGUGGGAUACAUGGCUCCGCGACGAGCACGAUCUACAACGGCAAUCCUUUUUGCCGGUCGUCCUCCCAGUCAGCCGCGGGCGCAUGGGCGUAGGCUGGUUCGCGGCCUCACGCCCACUCCUUCACCGUCCUCGCCACCACCUGCUCCGAUGACCACCAAGGAGGAGCUCAUGAGGCUAGUGAUAGAGGACUCCGUCUGCACCCAUGACGAGCACCAAUGGUAGGGCCUCGAGGAGAUGAUAGGCCCACCCCGCGGUCGGCGACGUCGCCAUCCCAAAGCUCGACGCAGUCGUCAAGGAGGAGGCCAUGGAGGACGUGCGCGAGGAGGAGCCGGCGGCAUGGAACCCGACCUUGGUCGGCCAGUCCUUGUCAUGGACGGAUACGGUGUCGUGCAUGCCGAAGCCCGGGUGGGUGGACACUGGCACGUGGUCACCGUCACCGCCACAAUCAGAGGUUGUGCAUGCGCCACCGCAGGCGCCAUAGCAUGCGCCUCCGACCUGGAAGAGGCCGCCAGCCGACCUCUGGCAGCCACCGCCGUACGUCGACCUCACCGGGGACGACGACGAGGACGACAACAACUAAAGACGACGAAAGCCACAGUGGCAACGACCUUAUCUACUUUUUUGUCUUUUAAUUUUAAGUUUAGUUAAGAAAUGUAUUGGACUGGACUUUUGUUGACGUUAAUGUUUAUAUUAAUAUUUUAAAAUUAUUUGCAAUGUCUAUUUGGGUUUGUUUGAGGGUCAAAUUUCUAAGUCCAAAAGGCGGACAGUUUGGGAUGCGGUGGACCAGUUGGGCACACCGACAGCUGCACGACCACGAGCGGACGCACGUGUCCGUUUUGCCUACCCGAACGGGCAAAAUCCGGACAAACCGGACGUCCCUUUGGGGUCGAGGGUUGGAAUUGGCCUAAGCACAAGUGAAACAAAAAACAUCAAAGGUUGUGCUCAGAAUGUAGCAGCAAUCCUAUGAACAAAGUGCAAGUAAAUAUGGCACUGCAGAUUUUGAAGUUACAUGGGCCAUUAGAAAGAGACGAACAUAUGUGGUUGAAUAAUAGAAAACAACAAAGAAAAUUGCCAUUCGGACUGAGCCGACCUACUGCUGCUACUCCUCGCCGACAUGGUGCCGUUCAUCUAUGCUCAAUGCUAGUAGAAAACAGUCAAGCACACAUUAAACAAUUAACCAAAGGAGCCAAUGUAGCUCUUCUCCGGGAUAUCAUCCUUCACAACCACAAUUUAAAAGAGCAACAUGACCAUGCAAGACAUACUAAAUGAAGACUUCUCCUGUUAGUAAAUUGUCAAAUAUUCCAGAGGAAAUUCCUUGUAGUUAGAUUUGAAGCAUUGGCGAGAAACAAUUCAUCAAACAUCCAAAAGUGCAUUGUCCAACAUCAAGAAAAAAAGAGGUUACCUAGCAUGGGUGCAGGAUUCAACCUGGGCAGAGAAAAGGUAAGCAUGCAUAACUUGCUGUGGACAGGACAGAGAAGCGGAGCUCAAGCCUCGAUCUCGUCCUCGUUGAAGUCGUUGACAGACAGGUCCUGCAUUGCCCACUUGUAAGGACAGUGCAUAUCGUGUGUUUCAGUGCGGAUUGUACAUAGAAAAAAUGAUUGCAGCAUGCUGUUGGCUGCAUACAACCUCGUAAAAAUGACAUAGCUGAUGCAAGUAUGUUUUAGUGUCAACUGGAACAAACAUAAAACUCCAACAACAAAUAUGCAAGUUUGGAGUGAAUAAUAACUUAUUUUCUUCAUGCCUAAUAUAAUUAUAACAUGACCCUAUAUAACCACCAUCAACCUAUGAGUUUCACACCUACUCCCUCCGUUUCUAAAUAUAAGUCUUUUUUAGGGAUUUCAAUACGGACUACAUACGGAUGUAUAUAGACAUAUUUUAGAGUGUAGAUUCACUCAUUUUGCUCCAUAUGUAGUCCGCAUUGGGAUCUCUAAAAGGACUUAUAUUUAGGAACAGAGGGAGUAGAAUAUAAGCAUGCCAUGUGAAAUUCUCAUCAUUGUACAAGAAAAGGCUUUCUGGUGCACUAAUUGGAAACAAAUUAUCACACAUGCUUGCCGGUCACGGCAUACUGAACCAACACCACGCACCAGUCACUAUCUUUGAGCCAGCUUCUUAAGGUGCUGAAACAACUUCUGCUUUAUCCACUGCCAGUCAUACGGCAGAAACGCAUGGAUUUCAUGAUCAUAG